This 116-nucleotide non-coding RNA is filed under the name Mucilaginibacter pedocola. RNAcentral describes it as "SAM-I sequence". It matches the Rfam family "SAM riboswitch aptamer (S box leader)". Rfam says of the family: The SAM riboswitch is found upstream of a number of genes which code for proteins involved in methionine or cysteine biosynthesis in Gram-positive bacteria. The SAM riboswitch acts at the level of transcription termination control. The record is from Rfam by way of RNAcentral. Lineage: Bacteria; Pseudomonadati; Bacteroidota; Sphingobacteriia; Sphingobacteriales; Sphingobacteriaceae.
AACUUAUCCAGAAAGACAGAGGGAAAGGCCCUACGACGUCUUAGCAACCUGUACCGGCUAUUUAGCGGGUAAAAGGUGCUAAUUCCUGCUCCAUACUACAUGGAGAAAGAUAAGAU